This is a long non-coding RNA of Chenopodium quinoa (quinoa), 742 nucleotides long. RefSeq lists it as uncharacterized. NCBI's taxonomy places the organism in Eukaryota, Viridiplantae, Streptophyta, Magnoliopsida, Caryophyllales, Amaranthaceae. The record is from RefSeq and is a predicted model, not a curated record. The transcript has 2 exons.
AAAUUGGCCCAAAUCCAAAAUUAUGAAACAUGAGUAUAUUUUGAUAUAUUGAAGUUUCAAUCCUAAACAUGUCACUUCAAAUUCUAUUAUUUAUUAAAAAAAGUCCAACUCUCUCUCUCUCUUUCUCUAUCUCCUAUGUCGUCAAUGUCGAUUACUUCUCUCUCCUAGGGCUUGGUUCUCGAUUUUUUCCCUCCUCCAUUGUAGCAGAUUCCUCAAUUGAAACAGAUUAGUGAGCUCUCUCCUCCAUUGAUGUAAAUUAGUGAGCUAUCUCCUCCAUUUAAGCUCUAUCUCCUCCGUCGAAGUGCAGCAACGACGCAGCUUUUUCUCCUCAUUGAAUCGGCUUGUGAGCUUUCUCUCCUCCAUGGAAGAAGCUUUUAAGCUUUCUCCUCCAUUGAAUCAGCUUUUGAGGGAAGAAAAAAUGGAGGAAACGAGCCGUAUGCAAGAGGUGGAUCAUGACUUGCUAAACAUGGAAGCUGAAGAUGAAGAAGAAGACUACAUUUUAGCCGCUUGAGCAACAAAUGAGUGGAACAAUUUUAGAGAUGACCUUGCUAAGAAGAUGUUUCAAGAAUAUGUGGUAUGAAGGGGUUAAGCUACCUAGGUUUUAGUUGUAAUGAGACAUUUGUGUACUAUGUAUGGUUUGUCAUAAACUAUUUAUUAUGUAAUGAGACAUUUGUAUACUAUAUAUGGUUUGUCAUAAAUCUAGUGAUGAGUGUCAUUAUAGCACUCAUAUGGUAGCAUUUUA